RNAcentral lists this ribosomal RNA (200 nucleotides) under uncultured bacterium. RNAcentral's name for it is "partial 16S ribosomal RNA". It matches the Rfam family "Bacterial small subunit ribosomal RNA", at positions 1301 to 1500 of the family's 1533-position model. The record is from RNAcentral.
UAGGCUGCAACUCGCCUACAUGAAGUCGGAAUCGCUAGUAAUCGCGGAUCAGCAUGCCGCGGUGAAUACGUUCCCGGGCCUUGUACACACCGCCCGUCACACCAUGAGAGUUUGUAACACCCAAAGCCGGUGGGGUAACCUUUUGGAGCCAGCCGUCUAAGGUGGGACAGAUGAUUGGGGUGAAGUCGUAACAAGGUAAC